This 498-nucleotide unclassified non-coding RNA is filed under the name Hevea brasiliensis (rubber tree). Lineage: Eukaryota; Viridiplantae; Streptophyta; Magnoliopsida; Malpighiales; Euphorbiaceae. The record is from RNAcentral.
GCACGUCAUUUCUAAGAAGAACAAGAAGGCACAGCAAUUGCUGGUCGUCGGUCUCUUCCAUUGAAGGAGAAGAAUCACAAGAGCAAACCCAAACCUGAUCUAUGCUCCAGACGAUAGGGAUCUGUCAAUGCAUUGCUGCAGAUAAUAGAGGCAACGCCACAAAAAUUUGUGGUCGCAGGUGAAUCAUAUUAUAUUCAAAUAUUUAUGAAUAUCUGCUGAACGGUGGCAUGUAGCUUUUGGAAAUUAGUUAAUGUAGCUAGUAAAGGGACAAUUUAUCAUUGAAAAGUCUCCAAUUAUCUCUUGUAUAUUGAGAAGGUCAAGUCAAUCAAGGGCUAGUCUUAGAUGCAAAGAUCUCAGGAACACCAUAAUUCAGCUGGUAUUCACUGGUUUAACCACCAAUCACAAGAGAUUGAUCCAUAUGGUUUGUCUCAUAUACAAAUUUUAAACAACAAUUUAUUCUCUGAUGUCGGCAGUCAAGGAAUCACUGUUUCCUUUCAA